This is a non-coding RNA of Schizosaccharomyces pombe (fission yeast), 833 nucleotides long. Lineage: Eukaryota; Fungi; Ascomycota; Schizosaccharomycetes; Schizosaccharomycetales; Schizosaccharomycetaceae. The record is from the annotation of a GenBank genome assembly.
CGUGUUCUGAAGAAAUAGUUAUUACUUAAUUAAGUAGCACCAUUGCAUAAGCUAAAACAUUUUGGAACUAACGAUUUCUGUAAACAAUGUUUGAAUACCAAAGGAGUUAGCAUAACAAUACUGCUUGCAUGAUAUGAUUUCACGGUCAGUAAAAGCAAUCCAACAUUAAUCAAUUACACAACCUUUUUUUCUGGAUAAUGAUUUGCAGGGUGAAGAUGAAAUAAGCAGGACUAUGAAACAAAAGAAAAUCGCGAGGGGUUUUAAUAUUGAUCAUUGGCAGUAUCGCAAUUUACAGCAGGGAGAGACAGCUGGAAUUUAAGGAAAUAUGCUGAUUGCCUAAGUUUAAUUAAUUAAACUACAACAUGCGAAAUUGAAAAAUUAAGCAUCAAUCCGAACAAACUUUCAGAUCUUACAGAAAUAUGCGUUUUUUAACACAUUGUUUAUAAACAUAUUUUAAUGAGGCCUUAAAAAAUAGCAUUCAAUUUUAUUAACUAUGAUAAGUAAUCGGAACCGAUAGAUAAUCGAAAAAAGCAGGGUUCGCAGAAAGACUCGGCUAUUUGAAGAGAAGGGAGUUGUAAAGGGGGUGGCAUAUCCAAAAGCCGUAAUGAUAUCUUUUGUUAUAACAGAAACAGCUGCUUAUUGCACAAUGCACUUAUUAUGGUAAGCAGCCACAUAAAAAAUCAUUGUUUCGCUAUAUUGCCAACAAUCAUUACGCUUGAGGUCGAUUUCAUGAAAGAACAUGCUUAAGCAUUAGAGUUAUUCAUUACUCUUCAUUUUCUUAUCAACGCGGGAUUCCAAUUCAUCAAGUUCUUCACGAUGAAGUUUGAGGCUUU